AAAUUGAAGAGUUUGAUCAUGGCUCAGAUUGAACGCUGGCGGCAGGCCUAACACAUGCAAGUCGAACGGUAACAGGAAGCAGCUUGCUGUUUCGCUGACGAGUGGCGGACGGGUGAGUAAUGUCUGGGAAACUGCCUGAUGGAGGGGGAUAACUACUGGAAACGGUGGCUAAUACCGCAUAACGUCGCAAGACCAAAGAGGG
RNAcentral lists this ribosomal RNA (202 nucleotides) under Salmonella enterica. RNAcentral describes it as "partial 16S ribosomal RNA". It matches the Rfam family "Bacterial small subunit ribosomal RNA", at positions 1 to 210 of the family's 1533-position model. RNAcentral also lists the same sequence under 1 other name. The record is from RNAcentral. Lineage: Bacteria; Pseudomonadati; Pseudomonadota; Gammaproteobacteria; Enterobacterales; Enterobacteriaceae.